RNAcentral lists this ribosomal RNA (458 nucleotides) under uncultured bacterium. Its description in RNAcentral is "partial 16S ribosomal RNA". It matches the Rfam family "Bacterial small subunit ribosomal RNA", at positions 338 to 795 of the family's 1533-position model. The record is from RNAcentral.
CCUACGGGUGACAGCAGUGAGGAAUAUUGGUCAAUGGGCGAGAGCCUGAACCAGCCAAGUCGCGUGAGGGAGUACUGCCCUAUGGGUUGUAAACCUCUUUUGUCGGGGAGCAAAAGCCGGACGUGUCCGGCUGUGAGAGUACCCGAAGAAAAAGCAUCGGCUAACUCCGUUCCAGCAGCCGCGGUAAUACGGAGGAUGCGAGCGUUAUCCGGAUUUAUUGGGUUUAAAGGGUGCGCAGGCGGAUUUUUAAGUCAGCGGUAAAAUCGUGGGGCUCAACCCCAUCCAGCCGUUGAAACUGGGGAUCUAGAGUGUGCGAGAGGUAUGCGGAAUGCGUGGUGUAGCGGUGAAAUGCAUAGAUAUCACGCAGAACCCCGAUUGCGAAGGCAGCAUACCGGUGCACAACUGACGCUCAGGCACGAAAGCGUGGGUAUCGAACAGGAUUAGAUACCCGAGUAGUC